GAUGAACGCUGGCGGCGUGCCUAAUACAUGCAAGUCGAGCGAACAGACGAGGCGCUUGCUCCUCUGACGUUAGCGGCGGACGUGUGAGUAACACGUGGAUAACCUACCUAUAAGACUGGUAUAACUUCGGGAAACCGGCGCUAAUACCGGAUAAUAUAUUGCACCGCAUGGUUCAAUAGUGAAAGACGGUUUUGCUGUCACUUAUAGAUGGAUCCGCGCCGCAUUAGCUAGUUGGUAAGGUAACGGCUUACCAAGGCGACGAUGCGUAGCCGACCUGAGAGGGUGAUAGGCCACACGGGAACUGAGACACGGACAAGACUCCUACGGGAGGCAGCAGUAGGGAAUCGGCCGCAAUGGGCGAAAGCAUGACGGAGCAAGGGCGAGUGAGUGAUGAAGGUCUUCGGAUCGGAAAACUCUGUUAUUAGGGAAGAACAAAUGUGUAAGUAAAUAUGCACGUAUUGACGGUACCUAAUCAGAAAGCCACGGCUAACUACGUG
Molecule: ribosomal RNA, 497 nt
Filed under: uncultured bacterium
Lineage: Bacteria
Description: partial 16S ribosomal RNA
Rfam family: Bacterial small subunit ribosomal RNA
Source: RNAcentral